UAAGGAAUAUUGCUCAAUGGGAGAAAUCCUGAAGCAGCAACACCGCGUGGAGGAUGAAGGGUCUAUGACUUGUAAACUCCUGUAAAGAAGGAAAAAAUUCCCAUUAGAUGGGAGAUGAUGGUACUUCUGGAGUAAGCCCCGGCUAACUACGUGCCAGCAGCCGCGGUAAUACGUAGGGGGCAAGCGUUGUCCGGAUUUACUGGGUGUAAAGGGUGCUCAGGCGGAUUUGUAAGUCAGAGGUGAAAUCUUACAGCUUAACUGUGAAACUGCCUUUGAUACUGCAAGCCUAGAGUAUGGAAGAGAGUGAUGGAAUAUCUGGUGUAGCAGUGAAAUGCGUAGAUAUCAGAUAGAACACCAAUGGCGAAGGCAGUCACUUGGUCCAUUACUGACGCUAAAGCACGAAAGCGUGGGUAGCAAACA
This 420-nucleotide ribosomal RNA is filed under the name uncultured bacterium. RNAcentral describes it as "bacterial SSU rRNA". It matches the Rfam family "Bacterial small subunit ribosomal RNA", at positions 355 to 774 of the family's 1533-position model. The record is from RNAcentral.